This is a long non-coding RNA of Artibeus jamaicensis (Jamaican fruit-eating bat), 929 nucleotides long. RefSeq lists it as uncharacterized. NCBI's taxonomy places the organism in Eukaryota, Metazoa, Chordata, Mammalia, Chiroptera, Phyllostomidae. The transcript is spliced from 3 exons. The record is from RefSeq and is a predicted model, not a curated record.
UUCCGGGCCAGGCGGUGGCCGCGUGACCCUGGUGAGGUGACUCACGUUUCUGAACCUCCGGAUCCCCGUUCACAGGGUCCCCUCCUCCUGGCCCAGUGCUGGGGGAACCCACUUGGAUGGAGAAGAGGGGAUGACUACCUUCCAGCUCACCUGCUCCAGGCCCUCAAAUAUCACCUGGAUGGAACAGCCCCUCCUAUAGAAGACCUGGCUGGCUGCUGAGUUUGAUUUCCAGAAGGGCAGAGCUACUCCUACCUGGUAUCCAGCCAAGCCCACAACAGGCGCUCAGAAGAUCCUGAUUGAAUGAACACACCCUAAUUCCCGAUGAGAUUUGUUUAACUGGGAUAAACACUCAGACAAUAAAACUGAGAGCAAGCCUGGAGAGAGCUACAUAAAGGAAAAGACCCCGGACCUCACAGCCAGGAGCCUGAGUUCAAAUCCUGCCUCCUGCAAAAGGCCGCGUGUGGCUUAGCCUCAUUUUCCUCACCUGUGAAAUGGAAGAUACUAAAGCCUGGACGCGGGAUUCUCCUGGAGAACAAAAGUGACGCUGGCAGAAGGAAGCUACUUUGCAGGCAGUCUAUAAACGCGAUCUGGGGCCACCCUGCGGCACUCAGCACCCAAUGCCUGGCAUGUCCCUUCUCAGUCCAUAGAUCUGCUUCUUCCAGGAGCCUGUGAGCUGGUGCGGGAACUCUGCUCACAAGUUCUGAACAGAAGAGCUCGGUGCCUGGCAUCCAGUGGGUGCUCAAUAAAUAAAUCAGUGAAUAAUGAACCCAGGCAGAUUGCUCCCCCUCUGAACCUCUUUCCACUUUGUAGGUAGGUAAUCUCCCGGCGCUUUCCUCUGUGGUUCCUACCACACCUAGUGAUUUCCUUUGUGGAGCCAGCCCUAGGAAUCACAUUUAGGGAAGGUGGGUGGUGAGAAGUUGAUUAAAAGG